Molecule: ribosomal RNA, 545 nt
Filed under: Acidobacteriota bacterium
Lineage: Bacteria; Pseudomonadati; Acidobacteriota
Description: bacterial SSU rRNA
Rfam family: Bacterial small subunit ribosomal RNA
Source: RNAcentral
GAGAGUUUGAUCCUGGCUCAGAACGAACGCUGGCGGCGUGCUUAACACAUGCAAGUCGAGUGCGCGUGCCGUAGCAAUACGGCAUGGCGCACGGCGCACGGGUGCGUAACACGUGGGCAAUCUGCCCUCCGGUGGGGAAUAACCCCGCGAAAGCGGGGCUAAUUCCGCAUAACAUUCCGUGGACCUCGGUCCGCGGACUCAAAGCCGCAAGGCGCCGGAGGAGGGGCCCGAGCCCGAUUAGCUUGUUGGCGAGGUAACGGCUCACCAAGGCAAUGAUCGGUAGCCGGUCUGAGAGGAUGGCCGGCCACACUGGAACUGAGACACGGUCCAGACUCCUACGGGAGGCAGCAGUGGGGAAUCUUGCGCAAUGGGCGAAAGCCUGACGCAGCGACGCCGCGUGGGGGAUGAAGCUUUUCGGAGUGUAAACCCCUUUCGACUGGGACGAAUGCCCGCAAGGGAGUGACGGUACCGGUAGAAGAAGCCCCGGCUAACUACGUGCCAGCAGCCGCGGUAAGACGUAGGGGGCCAGCGUUGCUCGGAAUUAC